This 72-nucleotide transfer RNA is filed under the name Camelus bactrianus (Bactrian camel). It matches the Rfam family "tRNA". From Rfam's summary of the family: Transfer RNA (tRNA) molecules are approximately 80 nucleotides in length. Their secondary structure includes four short double-helical elements and three loops (D, anti-codon, and T loops). The record is from Rfam by way of RNAcentral. RNAcentral also lists the same sequence under 2 other names. Lineage: Eukaryota; Metazoa; Chordata; Mammalia; Artiodactyla; Camelidae.
UGAGGUGUAGCUCAGUGGUGGAGCACAUGCUUAGCAUGUGUGAGGUCCUGGAUUCAAUCCCCAGGACCUCUG